Molecule: long non-coding RNA, 257 nt
Filed under: Solanum tuberosum (potato)
Lineage: Eukaryota; Viridiplantae; Streptophyta; Magnoliopsida; Solanales; Solanaceae
Description: long non-coding RNA (STUB_LNC010194)
Source: RNAcentral
UGGUGUCAUAUUGCAUUGCAUCCCAUGACAUCCUUCAUUCUUGAUGAUUAUGUGUUUUAUUAGUGGUUGGAAAGUAUUUGAUGUUUGAUUACCUCUAUUUGAUGAACUUGAUCUUGUAUGUUGUUGAUAUUUGUGAGUGCCUUUUUGUGAAAGUUGUGAUUGAUGAAUAUUGAGUUUGUUGUUGAGGAUAUGUAAUUUGUUAAAGUGAUUGUUGUUGAGCUGGGUGCUAUGUAAAUUAUGAACUGUUAGGUUGGGCU